UAUGCUUGUAUACAGUGCUAACUCGCGAUCUUAAAAAUAGCAAGUAUUGUAAGAAAGGCGUCACAUCAAAUUCUUAAAUCUAUUGAGCUCCAAAUUGUUGUUUUGCUUAUCGGUUUGUUAUUCGUCUGACACCGCACCGAAAUUGAAACUGAACCUGUUUCCUAUAGAAAAGAAAAAUUGUAUAUAAAAAGUAGAAGCCUAUUUACUGCCCGAAAGAAAUAUGUUGUAUAGAAACAAGGAGUUUAUAGACAGACUUCCUAAACUGAAAACAAGAAUGAAACAGAAAUAACUUGAAUAUUACAUUGUUAUAAAGUUGAAUGCUGUACAGAUCCGGGAUUCCGGUACACAGUGUUCAAAGUCCACCAAGGUCUAUAUCUUCAAAGUCCACCAAGGUCUAUAUCUUCAAAGUCCACCAAGGUCUAUAUUUCAAAGUCCACCAAGGUCUAUAUUUCAAAGUCCACCAAGGUCUAUAUUCAAAGUCCACCAAGGUCUAUAUUAUUAUUAUUAUUAUUAUUAUUAUUAUGCUUUCUUUAUUGGUCACAAGGUCU
Molecule: long non-coding RNA, 548 nt
Organism: Octopus bimaculoides (California two-spot octopus)
Lineage: Eukaryota; Metazoa; Mollusca; Cephalopoda; Octopoda; Octopodidae
Source: RefSeq, a predicted model, not a curated record